UAGCUUGCUAUGAAGAAUAAUUAGUGGCAGACGGGUGAGUAAUGCAUAGGAAUCUACCUAGUAGUAUGGGAUAGCCACUAGAAAUGGUGGGUAAUACUGUAUAAUCCCUGCGGGGGAAAGAUUUAUCGCUAUUAGAUGAGCCUAUGUUAGAUUAGCUAGUUGGUAGGGUAAAGGCCUACCAAGGCGAUGAUCUAUAGCUGGUCUGAGAGGAUGAUCAGCCACACUGGAACUGAGAUACGGUCCAGACUCCUACGGGAGGCAGCAGUGGGGAAUAUUGGACAAUGGGCGCAAGCCUGAUCCAGCUAUGCCGCGUGAGUGAGGAAGGCCUUAGGGUUGUAAAACUCUUUCAGUAGGGAAGAUAAUGACGGUACCUACAGAAGAAGUCCCGGCAAACUCCGUGCCAGCAGCCGCGGUAAUACGGAGGGGGCAAGCGUUGUUCGGAAUUAUUGGGCGUAAAGGGCAUGUAGGCGGUUCGGUAAGUUAAAGGUGAAAUGCCAGGG
RNAcentral lists this ribosomal RNA (500 nucleotides) under Ehrlichia muris. RNAcentral's name for it is "bacterial SSU rRNA". It matches the Rfam family "Bacterial small subunit ribosomal RNA", at positions 76 to 607 of the family's 1533-position model. Lineage: Bacteria; Pseudomonadati; Pseudomonadota; Alphaproteobacteria; Rickettsiales; Anaplasmataceae. The record is from RNAcentral.